AAAGGCUUUAUACCAGGAACUCUCUGUCAUUUAAGUUAUCUCCUUCCAUCCAUAAUACUGUUUUAUAGACUGACAUAAAAAGUAGAUAAAAAGAGCUGGUACUAUUAGAUGAACUCCCUCAAUCUCUGGUUUACUUGUGUUUUCCUGGAAGAAAAAAAAAAGAAAAAAAAAAGAAGCCACCAUGGUUGUUUAUUUUAAAAGUGAUUCCAUUUUUGUUUUACUCGUGUUCACUACAGAUUACUGGGACUGAAAAGUGAAAACCUGGGAAGAAAAGGAGGAGCCUGGAAAAACACUGGAAAGAAAGAGAAAGAGAAGAAAUGAGAAGAAAUCAAGAGAGGGGUAUGCUAAGAAGCUGAGGUCAGAGACUGAACACAAAGAACUGUUUUUCAUUUCAUUUAAGAAUUGUUACACAUUGCUGCGGCAGGGGAGAGAUCGAAGUAUGAUGACAGUUUAAUGGGAAGGCUACAGUGAAAAUACUAACGAGCAAUUGGAAUCGUGGAGCAACAGAAAUACUUUACUGUAAGAGGAAACUACAGUUCUUUUACUGAAGGUGAGGGGAGGACAUAAGU
This 569-nucleotide long non-coding RNA is filed under the name Anser brachyrhynchus (Pink-footed goose). RNAcentral describes it as "lncRNA (ENSABRG00000020254.1)". Lineage: Eukaryota; Metazoa; Chordata; Aves; Anseriformes; Anatidae. The record is from RNAcentral.